UUAGUGGCGGACGGGUGAGUAACGCGUGGGAAACCUGCCCUGUACCGGGGGAUAACACUUAGAAAUAGGUGCUAAUACCGCAUAAGCGCACAGCUUCACAUGAGGCAGUGUGAAAAACUCCGGUGGUACAGGAUGGUCCCGCGUCUGAUUAGCCAGUUGGCAGGGUAACGGCCUACCAAAGCGACGAUCAGUAGCCGGCCUGAGAGGGUGAACGGCCACAUUGGGACUGAGACACGGCCCAAACUCCUACGGGAGGCAGCAGUGGGGAAUAUUGCACAAUGGGGGAAACCCUGAUGCAGCGACGCCGCGCGAGUGAAGAAGUAUUUCGGUAUGUAAAGCUCUAUCAGCAGGGAAGAAAAUGACGGUACCUGACUAAGAAGCCCCGGCUAACUACGUGCCAGCAGCCGCGGUAAUACGUAGGGGGCAAGCGUUAUCCGGAUUUACUGGGUGUAAAGGGAGCGUAGACGGCAUGACAAGCCAGAUGUGAAAACCCAGGGCUCAACCCUGGGACUGCAUUUGGAACUGCCAGGCUGGAGUGCAGGAGAGGUAAGCGGAAUUCCUAGUGUAGCGGUGAAAUGCGUAGAUAUUAGGAGGAA
RNAcentral lists this ribosomal RNA (596 nucleotides) under uncultured Lachnospiraceae bacterium. RNAcentral describes it as "bacterial SSU rRNA". It matches the Rfam family "Bacterial small subunit ribosomal RNA", at positions 92 to 706 of the family's 1533-position model. The record is from RNAcentral. Lineage: Bacteria; Bacillati; Bacillota; Clostridia; Lachnospirales; Lachnospiraceae.